Molecule: ribosomal RNA, 513 nt
Filed under: uncultured archaeon
Lineage: Archaea
Description: bacterial SSU rRNA
Rfam family: Archaeal small subunit ribosomal RNA
Source: RNAcentral
AACUCUACAAUGCAGGCAACUGCGAUAGGGGAACAUCGAGUGGUCUCCAUAUUGGGGGCCUGUCCAUCCGCCUAAAAAGCGGGUGUUAGCAAGGGCCGGGCAAGACCGGUGCCAGCCGCCGCGGUAAUACCGGCGGCUCGAGUGGUGGCCGAUAUUAUUGAGUCUAAAGGGUCCGUAGCCGGCUUUGCAAGUCUCUCGGGAAAUCCAGCGGCUUAACCGUUGGUCGUCCGGGGGGUACUACAUUGCUUGGGACUGGGAGAGGUAGGAGGUACUCAGGGGGUAGGAGUGAAAUCCUGUAAUCCUUUGGGGACCACCGGUGGCGAAGGCGUCCUACCAGAACAGGUCCGACGGUGAGGGACGAAAGCUAGGGGCACGAACCGGAUUAGAUACCCGGGUAGUCCUAGCCGUAAACGAUGCUCGCUAGGUGUCACAACAGUCAUGAACUGUUGCGGUGCCGUAGGGAAGCCGUGAAGCGAGCCACUUGGGAAGUACGACCGCAAGGUUGAAACUUAA